GCAAUGCAUGCCUCCAGCAGGAUGCACCAGCCUGGUCUCAUAGACUAGUCAUAACAUAGUAAAUAUUAGGGCCUCCCGAGUGGCGCAGCAGUCUAAGGGAGACCAAUGACUGGCGACCGGUAGACCCAUGUGGCUUCGACCUUCGCAUGGCUCUCGACCUUCGCCUCCCCUGAGUCUGUAGGGGAGUUGCAGCAGUGGGACAAGACGGAUGACAAAGUGGACAGUUGGGUGCCAGAGUGAUCCCAUGGUCAUGAAUGGAUGCUGGGACCUAACAGAUGCAGCAAAGCUUGUCAAGCAAGACCUCAGAAUGAAAGUGUGAAAUAUGACAAGUACCCUUGUGACACCGCCUCCAUUGUUGCCAGAGUCUCCCUUAACUCCAAUGAAAAGGACACAUCAUCACGAGGUCUCUGAUAGUGACCAGAGUUACUACCUUGAUGAAAGACUGCUUCAUCGACGACAGAUUCUCCCAGUCAACAACCACCUCAUAAGAUUGCCUGCUGCAGUUGUUCAAGAGAUACCAGUUUGA
Molecule: long non-coding RNA, 526 nt
Filed under: Oncorhynchus kisutch (coho salmon)
Lineage: Eukaryota; Metazoa; Chordata; Actinopteri; Salmoniformes; Salmonidae
Description: lncRNA (ENSOKIG00005035592.1)
Source: RNAcentral